GACGUAGGGCGCGAGCGUUGUCCGGAUUUAUUGGGCGUAAAGAGCUCGUAGGCGGCUUGUCGCGUCGACCGUGAAAACUUGGGGCUCAACCCCAAGCCUGCGGUCGAUACGGGCAGGCUAGAGUUCGGUAGGGGAGACUGGAACUCCUGGUGUAGCAGUGAAAUGCGUAGAUAUCAGGAGGAAUACCGAUGGCGAAGGCAGGUCUCUGGGCUGACACUGACGCUCAUGCACGAAAGCGUGGGGAGCAAACAGG
RNAcentral lists this ribosomal RNA (253 nucleotides) under uncultured bacterium. Its description in RNAcentral is "partial 16S ribosomal RNA". It matches the Rfam family "Bacterial small subunit ribosomal RNA", at positions 524 to 776 of the family's 1533-position model. The record is from RNAcentral.